UACGUAGGGUGCAAGCGUUAUCCGGAAUUAUUGGGCGUAAAGAGCUCGUAGGCGGUUUGUCGCGUCUGCUGUGAAAACUGGAGGCUCAACCUCCAGCCUGCAGUGGGUACGGGCAGACUAGAGUGCGGUAGGGGAGAUUGGAAUUCCUGGUGUAGCGGUGGAAUGCGCAGAUAUCGAGGAGGAACACCGAUGGCGAAGGCAGAUCUCUGGGCCGUAACUGACGCUGAGGAGCGAAAGCGUGGGGAGCGAACAGG
Molecule: ribosomal RNA, 254 nt
Filed under: uncultured bacterium
Lineage: Bacteria
Description: partial 16S ribosomal RNA
Rfam family: Bacterial small subunit ribosomal RNA
Source: RNAcentral